ACGAACGUUGGCGGCGUGGAUUAGGCAUGCAAGUCGAACGAAUCCCUUGGGGCUUGCUCUAAGGGGGAAGUGGCGAAAGGGGCAGUAAGGCGUGGGUAACCUACCCUGGGGUCCGGCAUAGCCGUCCUAACGGACGGGUAAAACCGGGCGACGUAACGCGAUCGCUUGACCGUGUUACCAAAGGUUUACCGCCCUGGGAGGGGCCCACGUGGUAUUAGCUUGUUGGCGAGGUAACGGCUCACCAAGGCCAAGAUGCCUAGCGGGUGUGAGAGCACGACCCGCGCCACUGGCACUGAGACACUGGCCAGACUCCUACGGGAGGCUGCAGUCGAGGAUCUUCGGCAAUGGGCGCAAGCCUGACCGAGCGACGCCGCGUGUGCGAUGAAGGCCUUCGGGUUGUAAAGCCCUUUCGGCGGGGACGAUGAUGACGGUACCCGCAGAAGAAGCCCCGGCUAACUUCGU
Molecule: ribosomal RNA, 462 nt
Filed under: uncultured bacterium
Lineage: Bacteria
Description: bacterial SSU rRNA
Rfam family: Bacterial small subunit ribosomal RNA
Source: RNAcentral